UACGCUCCCACGGUUGUCACACCCUUUGUCUUUUGCGUACUGUAUGUUUCCUCGGUGGGCUCGCCCGCCGAUAGGACAUUUUCACACCCUUUGUAAUUGCAAUCAGCGUCAGUGAAAAAUUAUAAUAGUUAAAACUUUCAACAACGGAUCUCUUGGUUCUGGCAUCGAUGAAGAACGCAGCGAAAUGCGAAAAGUAGUGUGAAUUGCAGAAUUCAGUGAAUCAUCGAAUCUUUGAACGCACAUUGCGCCCCUUGGUAUUCCAUGGGGCAUGCCUGUUCGAGCGUCAUUUGUACCCUCAAGCUCAGCUUGGUGUUGGGUGUUUGUCCCGCCGUUGCGCGUGGACUCGCCUCAAAGCAAUUGGCAGCCGGCACAAGCCUGGGAGCGCAGCACAAUCGCUGUUUCCAGACUGCGUGUCGAGCGUCCAGCAAGCCUUUUAUUCUUGCGUUUGACCUCGGAUCAGGUAGGGAUACCCGCUGAACUUAAGCAUAUCAAUAAGCGGAGGAGAAGAAACCAACAGGGAUUGCCCUAGUAACGGCGAGUGAAGCGGCAUCAGCUCAAAUUUGAAAUCUGGCUCUUUCAGGGUCCGAGUUGUAAUUUGCAGAGGGCGCUUUGGCGUUGGCAGCGGUCCAAGUUCCUUGGAACAGGACGUCACAGAGGGUGAGAAUCCCGUACGUGGUCGCUGGCCUUCACCGUGUAAAGCCCCUUCGACGAGUCGAGUUGUUUGGGAAUGCAGCUCUAAAUGGGAGGUAAAUUUCUUCUAAAGCUAAAUACUGGCCAGAGACCGAUAGCGCACAAGUAGAGUGAUCGAAAGAUGAAAAGCACUUUGGAAAGAGAGUCAAAUAGCACGUGAAAUUGUUGAAAGGAAAACGCUUGCAGCCAGACUUGCCUGUA
RNAcentral lists this unclassified non-coding RNA (891 nucleotides) under Neopyrenochaeta sp. 3 VMD-2020. RNAcentral's name for it is "sequence contains 18S rRNA gene, ITS1, 5.8S rRNA gene, ITS2". The stretch from base 447 to 891 matches the Rfam family "Eukaryotic large subunit ribosomal RNA", at positions 1 to 443 of the family's 3401-position model. Lineage: Eukaryota; Fungi; Ascomycota; Dothideomycetes; Pleosporales; Neopyrenochaetaceae. The record is from RNAcentral.